RNAcentral lists this long non-coding RNA (3793 nucleotides) under Macaca fascicularis (crab-eating macaque). Its description in RNAcentral is "lncRNA (ENSMFAG00000057866.1)". Lineage: Eukaryota; Metazoa; Chordata; Mammalia; Primates; Cercopithecidae. The record is from RNAcentral.
AAUAUUUGAAGAGAUUUAUUCUAAGCCAAAUGAGUGACCAAUGGCUGGUGACAGCUCUCAGGAGAUCCUAAGAACACGUGCCCAAGAUGAUCAGGGUACAGCUUAGUUUUAUACAUUUUAGGGAGACAUGGGACAUCAAUCAAAUACCUGUUAAGACAUACACUGGUUCCAUCCAGAAAGGCAGGGCAAUUGGAAGGGAUGGGGGACAGGGGGCGGCUUCCAAGUCACAGCUAGAUUAAAAGAUUUCCUGAUUGGCAAUUGGUUGAAAAGUUAUUUACUAAAGACUUAGGAAUGUCUUUAGAAAAUAAAGGGGUUGUGGAGAACAAGGUUUUAGUGAGAAUGGGAUAAUUGAUUGGUGUGGAAAACACAAUUUGGUGUCAGACGUGUUGUGAAUACAUAAAUAGUUUUCCAAUUGAGUUUCUGGAUGAGAUUAACAUUUCAAUUGGGAGACUGAGUAUAGUACAUUGUCUUCUCCACUGUGGGUGGGCCUCAGCCAAUCGACUGAAGACGGAAUAGAACAAAAAGGCUGACCUCCCAGGAGUAACAGGGAGCUCCUACAGCCAAACAGCUUGAGUUGGAACACUUUUCCAGCCUUGGGCAACACUUUUCCAGCCUUGGGCUCAGACUGGGACUACACAUCAGUUUGCCUGCCUCUCCAGCUUGUCAACUGCAGAUCCUGAGACUUCUCAGCCUUCCUAAUUGUAUGGGCAAAUUCCUUAUAAUAAAUCUUUUAUACACACACUCCCUAUUAGUUCUGUUUCUGUGAAUUACCCUAAUAUAGGAGGUAUGCUUAUCAAAAUUUUGUCUAGCUGUAAGUCUGAAAGGGCAACUCACAACCAAGUAAACAGAAUAGAAUGAAGUGAAAAGGACUAGAUUAUCUGUUGACAAAUCCAAAUGUACAGAGGAUUUCUUUUUUGAGAUGGAGUCUCACUCUGUCUCCCAGGCUGGAGUGCAAUGGCACAAUCUCAGCUUACUGCAACCUCCGCCUCCCGUGUUAAAGCGAUUCUCCUGCCUCAGCCUCCCAAAGUAGCUGGGACUACAGGCAUGCACCACCAUGCCCAGCUAAAAUUUUUUGUGUAUUUUUAGUAGAGACAGGGGUUUCACCAUAUUGCGCAGACUGGUCUUGAACUCCUGACCUCGUGAUCCACCCGCUUCUGCCUCCCAAAGUGCUGGGAUUACAGGCGUGAGCCACUGCACCCGGCCGAGGAUUUCUUAAAAAGAUCUGUUAGCAGAAUCUCACUGUGGGAAAUUAAGAUCGAAGGCAAGCAGAGAACAGGUUUGUGUUUCUGGCAGAAAUAAAGCAACUGAAUUUACCUCCUGCCUGAAACAACUAAAAAACUAAGAGGAACAAAAAAAGAAACAAUGGUUUUCAAGACAUUGAACAUCAGGCAAUAAGGGACAAUGAUCUCUUGAUGAGACACAAAUGAGGCAAGCUCCCAAAUUGGCCUGGGCCUGCCAGGGUACAAAGCAGAAAGGGAGAAAACAGGCAGAGGCUGGUGGUUGCCCUAAGUUGAGGAAACAGAGUUUCUCUAACAGUCUAGGGAGAACAAGGCAGCUAGACUUUGCAGGGCAGACAUUGGAGGGAAGAGCUGCGCACGGUGUUCCCAGACCAAACUGAGGGUUGGGCUGCUAUUUCUUGUGACCCAGUAAGAAGAUGUAGAUGAACCGGGGAGGAAGAGUUUUUAUUUCUGGAACCAGUUACAGGGAGAAGGCCUGGAAAUGAUCACCAGACCAACUCAAAAUUACAAAAUUUUCCAGAGCUUAUAAUACCUUCUAAGCUAUAUGUCUAUGUGUAAGUGUGCAUUCAUCUAAAGACAUAAGUGGUUAACUUCUUAUAAUCUACAACUAAGGUCUGGAGUCCUGAAGACCUUCCUCUGCAGCCUCAGUAAAUUCACUUCAUCUAAAUGGGUCCAGCUGCUAGGGUGAUUACGCUUGUCUCCUGCUAAAUCAGGGAGGUUUGGUGAUUCUUUCAGAACCCCAACAAACUUGUUUAAUCCUAAAUGGGUCCAGCUAAGAAUUCCUUCAUUUUUUUUUUGUCAUGCUUUAAGGCCCAAUAAAGGCCUGGGCAAAAUUCUUGGUGGGCUUUUGUUACAUUCCAGCCUUUGUAUAAGGGCCUUGGCUUUUUUAUCUUUUAGCAUUUAACUUAGCCACUCACUCAGUACUGAAACAGUUGUUAUGGGGGCCUGUGUUGAGACCUGGCCUGCCACAGGGUACACUCUGCAGCAGAGUCCUGAUGAAUGCACACACAUGGUGGGGCAAGUACUCAGGCUGGGGAAAGAACCAUCACAAAGGAUUAGUGGGGAAAUCCUUACAGUUUACAGAGGUAGGAAUAAUCCCUGCUACCACCCACCAGAACGGAAAACCUCUGAAUUCACAGGGCAUCAGGUACACAGAGGAUUUUGCUUUAGGAGUGGAAAAAAACACUAGCCACUAGCCCUAACAAGUUUAGAAGAAAGAUCCAAAAGUAUCCAACUGGUUCUAAGUAACUUAAUCCCCUCCCAAGACAAAGCUCAAGAAUAUUUAUAGGAACACAAAACAUCCAGUACCCAAUAAGGUAAAAUUCACAAUGUCCAACAAUAUCUUUGGUCUCGUUAUGUUGCCCAGGCUGGUCUCAAACUUCUGGACUCGAGAGAUCACCCAACCUCAGCCUCCGUUGGGAUUACAGGUGUGCGCCUCUGCACCCAAUGUAACAUUGUUUUCUUAAGGUAUGUUAGAACUCACCUGUAAGUCCAUCUGGGCUGAUGUUUCUUUGUGGGAAGAUUUUAAACUCCUUAUGGAACUAUCAGCCAAAAUACCCUUAAAGAAUUUGGUUUAGGGAAUUGAGCCUCUUGCCCUAACAAUCAGUAGGACUUACUAAUUUAUAAUGACGACAGUGUGGGACUGGCCCAGGAAAAAAGGAAAUGACAGAUGGAACAAACGUCUCUGAGCCCAGAAACACUCAUACUUGAUAUAUAGAGAAAGACCUGUGGGAAAUUACUGAAGAAAAGAACUAUUCAAUAAACAGGGGUUAAAUAACUGAUUAUCCACGGGGUGGGGGAGGAGGGGAGGAAUUAGAUACCUUACAUCUUGCACACAUACACACAAAUCUCAGUAAACACCUAAACAUGAAAAGCAAAAUUGUCAGCAGUGACAAAAGGCAAAUUUUACAGUAGAGGGAAAUGAAUGGCAAAUGAACAUGAAAAAUUCCUGAUCUAAGGUCAGGAAAGGAGGUCAGGAAAACACAAGUUAAAAUUAUGAGAUACUUUUUUAUAUAUGCUACAUUAACAAUAAAAACAUUGCAAAGUUCCGGAAGUACUACUCAAGAGAAUAUCAUCAUUUUGGAAAAUACCUGGCAUUAUUUUGCAAAAUUGACAAGCCAACAACUCCACUCUUACGUAUAAAGUCUCUUGCAUAUGUGUACCAAGGGACAGUCAAGUAUUUUUUGAGUGUACUGUUUCUACCAACAAAAACUAAAAAUAAAUGUCAACUGAUAGGAAAAUGAACACUUGAUGUGGUAUACUCAAACAGAAUACUACAGAGCAACUAAACCAUCCAUGCAUAUAAGCACAAGAAUUAAUUUUAAACAUAAACUCAAAAAAGCGAGUAAGACUUCACAUUCAGACACUAUAUGUAGAAAGCUUCAAACAAUGAAACAGUAUGUUUGAAGAAUAUAUAUGUGUGAUUAAAAAAGGGGAAGGAACAAUAAAAAAUGACGUGGGGAAAGAGGUAAGAAAAUAGGAAGAACAUACAUAUACGUAAUUGGCAGCUUUCCGUGUCUUUAGUUAGGUGUGAUGAGUUUUUAAGUAUUAAUUCU